RNAcentral lists this long non-coding RNA (1537 nucleotides) under Selaginella moellendorffii. Its description in RNAcentral is "long non-coding RNA (SMOE_LNC000525)". Lineage: Eukaryota; Viridiplantae; Streptophyta; Lycopodiopsida; Selaginellales; Selaginellaceae. The record is from RNAcentral.
ACACUCUCAUAGAGUUUGAGCUUCAUAUGUUACUAUUUCUUCGUCUGAGCAGCUAAUGCAAGAGAUGACGCGUGUGGCCAAGCCCGGAGGCUGGGUUGUGCUCACAGGAUGGUGUCACCGAGAGUUUACCCAUGGCGAAACUUCACUCAAGAAGCAUGAGCUGGUCAUAGAUUUAAUCAAGACUGAAAACGUGAGUUAAAUUAUAUUUUAAUAUAUGUGAUUUGUGUUUGCAGAAGAUCCUGGACAAAGUCCGUGCAGCAUAUCUUCUUCCACCUUGGUGCCAGACAUCUGAUUACAAAGUUAUAGCAAUCGACGCGGGUUUGCAAGUGUGUGCUGUAAUCUCAAUAUAAUAUUUAGAGUUUACUGUGAUUAAUGUUGCCAGGGGGUAAAAGUGGAAGACUGGACACGGCACAUGCUUCCGUUUUGGGGUCUGCUCACUGCAGAGAUCUUUACCUUGAGAGGCGCAUUCAAGAUUUUGACAUCAGGUAAUACAAAACUUUCACAAGAGUCUUACCUCUCUAAUGAGUAAACAGGAUGGGCACAUCUUCGUGCAAGUAUAUCCUUGGCAUAUCACUUCUCCUACAUGGACAAAGGAUUCAAGACUGGCGUUUUCAAGUAUGCUGUGGUUAUGGGAAAGAAAGAUAAGAAGUAGUUCCAGUAGCAGGAGACUUGCCUCCUUUAUUAUCUGUUUUGAUUCAUAAAGGUCGAACAAUUGACACAGCAAAUCAUCAAUAAUAAUUCAUUAUUUCUUACACUGGAUCGCCAGCGUCUUUGUUCUUGCAAUGGCCAGCGAGAUCGAAGAGAUUUAUGAUGAGGGAUGCGUGGUGUACGAGGCCGUGUGGGGCGAGCAUAUGCACUCGGGCUACUUUGAGGCGGGCAAGCCUGGGGACUUUCGAGUGGCACAAGUCCGAAUGAUCGAGGAGGUCCUCUCUUGGGCCGGAGUACCAAGUAAGCUUCCCUCUCUAUUCUAUUACAAUCUCCUAGAUGAUGAGCAAAGCCGGCCUCGAGACAUACUGGACGUGGGCUGCGGUUUUGGGGGAACUUCUCGAUAUCUGUCCAAGAAGUACUCGGCAAAUGUGAAAGGAAUAGCACUGAGCGAUUACGAGAUCGCCAGCUCCAUUGCUCCUGUUUUUCUUUCUAUUUUAAUAUAUGUGAUUUGUGUUUGCAGAAGAUCCUAGACAAAGUCCGUGCAGCAUAUCUUCUUCCACCUUGGUGCCAGACAUCUGAAUACAAAGUUGUAGCAAUCGACUCGGGUUUGCAGGUGUGUGUUAUAAUUUCAAUAUAUUAUCUAGAAUUUAUUGUGAUUAAUGUUGCCAGGGGGUAAAAGUGGAAGACUGGACACAGCACAUGCUUCCGUUUUGGGGUCUGCUCACUGCAGAAAUCUUUACCUUGAGAGGCGCAUUCAAGAUUUUGACAUCAGGUAAUACAAAACUUUUGCAAGAGUCUUACCUCUCUAAUGAGUAAACAGGAUGGGCACAUCUUCGUGCAAGUAUAUCCUUGGCAUAUCACUUCUCCUACAUGGACAAAGGAUUCAAGA